RNAcentral lists this ribosomal RNA (207 nucleotides) under uncultured bacterium. RNAcentral describes it as "partial 16S ribosomal RNA". It matches the Rfam family "Bacterial small subunit ribosomal RNA", at positions 568 to 774 of the family's 1533-position model. The record is from RNAcentral.
CGCGUAGGCGGUUUGUUAAGUCAGAUGUGAAAGCCCCGGGCUCAACCUGGGAACUGCAUUUGAUACUGGCAGACUAGAGUAUGGUAGAGGGAAGCGGAAUUCCGGGUGUAGCGGUGAAAUGCGUAGAUAUCCGGAAGAACACCAGUGGCGAAGGCGGCUUCCUGGACCAAUACUGACGCUGAGGUGCGAAAGCGUGGGGAGCAAACA